AGGAGAGGGAGGGCGACCGACGGUAAGACUUGAUCUAGCUGAGGAAGGUCCCUCCUCCGACGGGCAAGAUGGGCUGAGAAAUUCAGCAUGGUGAGAACCAUGGCAAGGACCCAGAAACGACACGGACCCGGUCAACAGGAUGAUCCGCAAGGCGGUGACAUUCCCGGGGAUACGGUGAAACGGUGACUCCCCAUCGGAGCAAGCCCAUACAGCCGGUAUGACCGCCCGUGGACCGGCGGGUAGGGCGCGCAGUUGAAUGUCGCCUGAAACAGAAGGGGGCCUACUACCCUC
This 291-nucleotide RNase P RNA is filed under the name Methanomassiliicoccaceae archaeon. RNAcentral describes it as "partial RNase P RNA component". It matches the Rfam family "Archaeal RNase P". Rfam says of the family: Ribonuclease P (RNase P) is a ubiquitous endoribonuclease, found in archaea, bacteria and eukarya as well as chloroplasts and mitochondria. Its best characterised activity is the generation of mature 5'-ends of tRNAs by cleaving the 5'-leader elements of precursor-tRNAs. Lineage: Archaea; Methanobacteriati; Thermoplasmatota; Thermoplasmata; Methanomassiliicoccales; Methanomassiliicoccaceae. The record is from RNAcentral.